This 175-nucleotide ribosomal RNA is filed under the name uncultured bacterium. RNAcentral describes it as "partial 16S ribosomal RNA". It matches the Rfam family "Bacterial small subunit ribosomal RNA", at positions 338 to 524 of the family's 1533-position model. The record is from RNAcentral.
CCUACGGGAGGCAGCAGUGGGGAAUAUUGCACAAUGGGCGCAAGCCUGAUGCAGCGACGCCGCGUGGGGGAUGACGGCCUUCGGGUUGUAAACUCCUUUCGCCAGGGACGAAGCGUUUUGUGACGGUACCUGGAGAAGAAGCACCGGCUAACUACGUGCCAGCAGCCGCGGUAAU